CUGAGGAUUCAUUCUAACCUUCUUCCUUUUUUUAUUUGUAAUUUUUUCCCCCAAAUUGAGAAAUUAGCUGUAAACUAUUUGCAAUAUAUUUACUUAGUUUUUCCUCUAAGUAUAUGAACAGCUUUGAAAUUCCUAAUGCUAGGCUUUGUGACAAACAGGUUUAUCAUCUAGAGUAUAGUGUGUGUGUGUGCAUGGACUUUAGCUUCACAGUAUCCUAUCUAAACGUUUCCAAAUCUUUUGGUAUAUGAUAUUGUAGGUAGUGUCAUAUGGUGGGUGUAUGUUAACUUUUAAGAAGCUGCCAAAUGAUUUUCCAAAAUGACUAUACCAUUUUGCUAUUUCUACCAGCAGCGUAUGAGACUUCCAAUUGAUCUGGAUCUUUGCCAGUGCUUUGUAUUGUCAGAUUUUUAAAAUAAAUGACCUAGACUCAAAAUUUGAAUUUAGCAGACAAUAUAGAACACCCAGUUAAAUCAGAAUUUCAUGUAAAUAAGUAUUUUUUAGUAUAAAUGUGUCCCCAGCAUUACCUAGAACGUAUUUAUACUAAAAACUCUUUAUCUGAUGUUUUGGGGGCUCUGUUUAGAGGCCACCUAUUCUCAGACCUCAGCAUGGCUCCAAAAGGAUCAGAGCUCUUUGCCAAAGAAAUGUUCAAAUAUCCAUGAAGAAAGGGGAGAAGAAAUUCAGAGGUCCUCAGAUGAUCUGGAGAUGACCUGGCUUACAGUAGUACUGAAUCUGGAACUCAUCAGACCUGCUGUUUUUCAUGCCCUGCACAGCAACCCAGGGGACUGACUUGCCCAAGGUCCUCCUGUAAAUGGAAUCGCUAGAAGCAGACCCUGAAUCCCUCACCUCUUCAUGGUGAGUGCUUAAUGUCCACCUUGGACUGGGGCUGUGUCCUAUUUUCUUAAGAGGGUCUACUAGAACAGAUAUUUCUAGCUUAAUGUUUAUAGUCAGAGAAGGUAGAAACGAACAAAAACAAUAAUCACAACACGAGGGUCUCCAGUUCUAAGGAAACUGUUGUCAGCGUUGAGGUCUGUAAUAGCCACUUGUAAAUGUGUAAUGGGAAAGGAGUGGGACUUGUGGCUGAUGUCAGCAGGGCAGCUUUUGUCAGAAGCUGCUCUUUUUGCUUUUCCUUUAGAAGCCAGAUCUGAAAGACCCAUUUUCCUCAGAAUUUCUGCUCCGAGGUAAGGCUGGAGGCCUCCUUUCACUCCUACAGUUCAUUUAGGCUGCACUCAGGGUGGUUUCCAAUCAGCAUGGAAACAUUUGUACCUUG
This 1264-nucleotide long non-coding RNA is filed under the name Cervus hanglu yarkandensis (Yarkand deer). Its description in RNAcentral is "lncRNA (ENSCHYG00000011746.1)". The record is from RNAcentral. Lineage: Eukaryota; Metazoa; Chordata; Mammalia; Artiodactyla; Cervidae.